UAGGGAAUCUUAGACAAUGGGCGCAAGCCUGAUCUAGCCAUGCCGCGUGGAGUGAAGAAGGCCUUAGGGUCGUAAAGCUCUUUCGCCAGGGAUGAUAAUGACAGUACCUGGUAAAGAAACCCCGGCUAACUCCGUGCCAGCAGCCGCGGUAAUACGGAGGGGGUUAGCGUUGUUCGGAAUUACUGGGCGUAAAGCGCACGUAGGCGGAUUAGAAAGUUAGAGGUGAAAUCCCAGGGCUCAACCCUGGAACUGCCUUUAAAACUCCUAGUCUUGAGUUCGAGAGAGGUGAGUGGAAUUCCAAGUGUAGAGGUGAAAUUCGUAGAUAUUGGGAGGAACACCAGUGGCGAAGGCGGCUCUCUGGCUCGAUACUGACGCUGAGGUGCGAAAGUGUGGGGAGCAAAGCAGGAUUAGAUACCCCUGGUAUGUCCAGCAGCCGUAAACCGAUGAAUGCCAGUCGUUCGGGUAGUAUACUAUUCAGGUGACACACCUAAACGGAUUAAGCAU
RNAcentral lists this ribosomal RNA (504 nucleotides) under uncultured Alphaproteobacteria bacterium. Its description in RNAcentral is "bacterial SSU rRNA". It matches the Rfam family "Bacterial small subunit ribosomal RNA", at positions 355 to 867 of the family's 1533-position model. Lineage: Bacteria; Pseudomonadati; Pseudomonadota; Alphaproteobacteria. The record is from RNAcentral.